CCUCCCUCCUGUCUGCCAUUAGUGCUUUUACUAGGACAGGGAAAUAAACUGAUGCAUCUCGAAAAAGCAUUGAUUCUGAGAUUUUGAGACAGCAUCGCGAUUCUUUCUCGAGUCAAUUCUGAACUUAGUUUUGAACUGAACGCAGAUGGCAUUGCAUGCUUUAGAAACAUCCAUACUCUGCUUGUUUCCCAAUCCUUACCCAUACACUUGAAUCAAAAAUAAUCAUUCAUUAAAUUCUAAAAGGUUGAAGGGAAUUACAAGGGUGUUCACACACAGUGUGCUCUGUUUCUGUUAAUCUUGCGUCAUAAAAGCAUACUCAUCCAAACGCACAAGCGUUCUUCAGCACUCUUCAUUAGCACUUGAGUGUACAGACUAAAACUAGAUUAGAGCGCCAUCUGCUGUUAUAAUCUACACUCAGAAUCAAUUCCAGAGAGAAUCAAGAUGCAUUCGGAAGAUCUCGGAAACAAUCCAAGAAUCAAUUUUGCUUCAAUUUAUCGUCGCAGCCCUAGCUUGUACUCAGGGUCCCCGCGGGUCCUUAAAAAGUCUUGAAAUGUCUUAAAUACAAUUUUCGAUUUUUAAGGUCUGAAAAUGUCUUGAAUCCUGGAAUUUUCCAUAUGAAUGUCUUAAAUUUCAUGUGGGGUCUUAAAUUUCAUGUCCGACUCGUCAUUUUUAUUUAUUUUUUCAACCGCAAUUUGACCAGCACAACAUUUGGGGGCAGCACUUCGUGGGUGCAACCUGCAUCAUACCAUAUGUCACAUACGAGUAAGUGAUUGAUGAACGCGUUGCGCUGAUGGUUCGCCACCACGGCAUUUUGCGAAAUCGCAAACAUGGGCAAAGACGAUAAAGCUGUGGACAAGACCACGAUUGUCAGGUCUCGCUAUCUUGGUUCUCAGUUUUUGAGCACCUCAAUGGCAGAAGACUUGCUGGAGCACUUUAAGGAGGGCACCAAGGAAUUUAAUUUAAGGAACAUGCUUUCUGUGUCAAUGGAUGGACCCACAGUAAAUUGGAAAGUCAUGGAUCUCCUACAACUGGAACAUGCAAUAAAUUUCUGAUCCUGA
Long non-coding RNA from Carassius gibelio (silver crucian carp), 1058 nucleotides. RefSeq lists it as uncharacterized. The transcript is spliced from 2 exons. NCBI's taxonomy places the organism in Eukaryota, Metazoa, Chordata, Actinopteri, Cypriniformes, Cyprinidae. The record is from RefSeq and is a predicted model, not a curated record.